RNAcentral lists this ribosomal RNA (497 nucleotides) under uncultured bacterium. Its description in RNAcentral is "partial 16S ribosomal RNA". It matches the Rfam family "Bacterial small subunit ribosomal RNA", at positions 28 to 507 of the family's 1533-position model. The record is from RNAcentral.
GAUGAACGCUGGCGGCGUGCCUAAUACAUGCAAGUCGAGCGAACGGACGAGAAGCUUGCUUCUCUGAUGUUAGCGGCGGACGGGCGAGUAACACGUGGAUAACCUACCUAUAAGACUGGGAUAACUUCGGGAAACCGGAGCUAAUACCGGAUAAUAUUUUGAACCGCAUGGUUCAAAAGUGAAAGACGGUCUUGCUGUCACUUAUAGAUGGAUCCGCGCUGCAUUAGCUAGUUGGUAAGGUAACGGCUUACCAAGGCAACGAUGCAUAGCCGACCUGAGAGGGUGAUCGGCCACACUGGAACUGAGACACGGUCCAGACUCCUACGGGAGGCAGCAGUAGGGAAUCUUCCGCAAUGGGCGAAAGACUGACGGAGCAACGCCGCGUGAGUGAUGAAGGUCUUCGGAUCGUAAAACUCUGUUAUUAGGGAAGAACAUAUGUGUAAGUAACUGUGCACAUCUUGACGGUACCUAAUCAGAAAGCCACGGCUAACUACGUG